Molecule: ribosomal RNA, 698 nt
Filed under: Leptobrachium buchardi (Buchard's eastern spadefoot toad)
Lineage: Eukaryota; Metazoa; Chordata; Amphibia; Anura; Megophryidae
Description: partial large subunit ribosomal RNA
Rfam family: Bacterial large subunit ribosomal RNA
Source: RNAcentral
UGGUUACUCAAGAAAAGAAUUUUAGUUCUGUCUUAAAAAAAUUUAAGCACUUAAAGCAUUUUUAAGAAUUAUUCAAUUAGGGUACAGCCUAAUUGAAAUAGGAUACAACCUAAACUUCAGGAUAAUGAUUAAACCUAAAAAAGUUAAAGGCCCAGUCGGCUUAAAAGCAGCCAUCUAUUAAAAAGCGUCAAAGCUUGACCUUAUAUCUACUUUUAUCUAAUUAAUUUUUCAAAAUCCGAUAUUACUACUGAGUUAUUCUAUAUUGUUAUAGAAGUAUUAAUGUUAGGACUAGUAACAUAGAAUUAUUUCUCUUUCAUAUAAGUAAAAAUCAGUUCGAAUACUUCACUGAUAAAUACCCAGAUCUGAAUACAAAGUAGCUUUGGAAUCCCCAUGAAAAUACUACUUUUUUUUCUGUUAAUCUAACACGAGAAUAUGCAAGAAAGAUUUUAAGACUAAGAAGGAACUCGGCAAACCCGUAGUCUCGCCUGUUUACCAAAAACAUCGCCUUUUGAAAAUUAUAAAAGGUAACGCCUGCCCAGUGACAUUGUUUAACGGCCGCGGUAUUCUGACCGUGCGAAGGUAGCGUAAUCACUUGUCUCUUAAAUAGAGACCUGUAUGAAUGGCAUCACGAAGACUUAACUGUCUCCCUAGUCCUAUCAGUGAAACUGAUCUUCCCGUGCAAAAGCGGGAAUAAAGCC